Molecule: long non-coding RNA, 830 nt
Organism: Globicephala melas (long-finned pilot whale)
Lineage: Eukaryota; Metazoa; Chordata; Mammalia; Artiodactyla; Delphinidae
Source: RefSeq, a predicted model, not a curated record
CGCCGCCGCCGCCGCGCCACUGCCUUCGCGCAGGUGCGGCGGCCUCUCUCGCCACUUCCACUGCGCCGAAUCUUCGCGGCUGCGCAGGUGGCGCCCCUGAGGCUCCCAGGGUUUGCUGCGCUGGGGAAGCUCCCAUUACGCAGAGCGCGCGUAGGCAGCGCUGACCUUCCCGCUUCCCAGCUUCCCGGGUCUAGGGCGCUCAGCAGAUGUGGUUGUGCUCUUUCCGCCUUGCUUUUGUUUUCUUGGUUUCAGUCCCUGGUUUUGCAAGUAGUUCCUCGUUCCCGGUAAGCGGGAAACGCGGACUGCGUUACCCAUGUUUGAAACUGGGUUUACACGUUUGGAAAGCAAGAAGGGGUUACUCUGCUGGAGCAGUUUGAUGUUGCACGUAAGGGGUUUUAUACCUUACGGUUCCACAAGCUCCCGCUGUAUCUGGUAUGUAGAAGAGAGGGACAAAGAAACGCGGAGGCUCAGGAAGGUUGGUUGCCCACCUCUUCUUUCCACCACAGAAUUCUGCCUCUAGAAAAGCAGGGGAAAGAGUAGCCACGCAAAGGAUCUGGCCACACGGAUGCGGGAUUUUAGUUCCUGGACUAGGGAUCGAACCCAUGCCCCCUGCAGUGGAAGCAUGGAGUCUUAACCACUGGACCACCAAGGAAGUCCCCAUUGUGUUCAUUUUUUAAAGGAAGGUGUAAAUAUGAGGGUAAUUCAUAACAAGUGACAACUUUUAAAGAAAUGACUUUAAACAACUUGAUACGUUGCUGUUGUCAGUAGACAGAACUUUUAGCCCCAAAGUAAGAUGCAACCUGACUUUUAAGGCAGGGACAAGGAUGUGC